AGAGUUUGAUCAUGGCUCAGGACGAACGCUGGCGGCGUGCUUAACACAUGCAAGUCGAACGGAAAGGCCCUUUCGGGGGUGCUCGAGUGGCGAACGGGUGAGUAACACGUGAGUAACCUGUCCUGGUCUUUGGGAUAACCUUCGGAAACGGGGGCUAAUACCGGAUAUUCCCGCAUUGUCGCAUGGUGGUGUGGGGAAAGUUUUUUCGGACUGGGGUGGGCUCGCGGCCUAUCAGCUUGUUGGUGGGGUGAUGGCUUACCAAGGCUUUGACGGGUAGCCGGCCUGAGAGGGCGACCGGCCACACUGGGACUGAGACACGGCCCAGACUCCUACGGGAGGCAGCAGUGGGGAAUAUUGCACAAUGGACGCAAGUCUGAUGCAGCGACGCCGCGUGAGGGAUGACGGCCUUCGGGUUGUAAACCUCUUUCGCCAAGGACGAAGGGCCUGUGAGGGUUUGACGGUACUUGGAGAAGAAGCGCCGGCCAACUACGUGCCAGCAGCCGCGGUA
This 508-nucleotide ribosomal RNA is filed under the name uncultured Actinomycetes bacterium. RNAcentral describes it as "bacterial SSU rRNA". It matches the Rfam family "Bacterial small subunit ribosomal RNA", at positions 8 to 522 of the family's 1533-position model. Lineage: Bacteria; Bacillati; Actinomycetota; Actinomycetes. The record is from RNAcentral.